Molecule: ribosomal RNA, 497 nt
Filed under: uncultured bacterium
Lineage: Bacteria
Description: partial 16S ribosomal RNA
Rfam family: Bacterial small subunit ribosomal RNA
Source: RNAcentral
GAUGAACGCUGGCGGCGUGCCUUAUACAUGCAAGUCGAGCGAACGGACGAGAAGCUUGCUUCUCUGAUGUUAGCGGCGGACGGGUGAGUAACACGUGGAUAACCUACCUAUAAGACUGGGAUAACGUCGGGAAACCGGAGCUAAUACCGGAUAAUAUUUUGAACCGCAUGGUUCAAAAGUGAAAGACGGUCUUGCUGUCACUUAUAGAUGGAUCCUCGCUGCAUUAGCUAGUUGGUAAGGUAACGGCUUACCAAGGCAACGAUGCAUAGCCGACCUGAGAGGGUGAUCGGCCACACUGGAACUGAGACACGGUCCAGACUCCUACGGGAGGCAGCAGUAGGGAAUCUUCCGCAAUGGGCGAAAGCCUGACGGAGCAACGCCGCGUGAGUGAUGAAGGUCUUCGGAUCGUAAAACUCUGUUAUUAGGGAAGAACAUAUGUGUAAGUAACUGUGCACAUCUUGACGGUACCUAAUCAGAAAGCCACGGCUAACUACGUG